GAUGAACGCUGGCUACAGGCUUAACACAUGCAAGUCGAGGGGAAACGACGGGGAAGCUUGCUUCCCCGGGCGUCGACCGGCGCACGGGUGAGUAACGCGUAUCCAACCUGCCUCUGACUGAGGGAUAACCCGUCGAAAGUCGGCCUAAUACCUCAUGGCAUCGUCUGCGGGCAUCCAACGACGAUUAAAGAUUUCAUCGGUCAGGGAUGGGGAUGCGUCUGAUUAGCUUGUUGGCGGGGUAACGGCCCACCAAGGCUACGAUCAGUAGGGGUUCUGAGAGGAAGGUCCCCCACAUUGGAACUGAGACACGGUCCAAACUCCUACGGGAGGCAGCAGUGAGGAAGAGUGGGCAAUGGGCGGGAGCCUGAACCAGCCAAGUAGCGUGCAGGAUGACGGCCCUAUGGGUUGUAAACUGCUUUUAUGCGGGGAUAAAGUGAGGGACGUGUCCUUCAUUGCAGGUACCGCAUGAAUAAGGACCGGCUAAUUCCGUG
This 491-nucleotide ribosomal RNA is filed under the name uncultured bacterium. Its description in RNAcentral is "partial 16S ribosomal RNA". It matches the Rfam family "Bacterial small subunit ribosomal RNA", at positions 28 to 507 of the family's 1533-position model. The record is from RNAcentral.